Molecule: ribosomal RNA, 425 nt
Filed under: uncultured bacterium
Lineage: Bacteria
Description: partial 16S ribosomal RNA
Rfam family: Bacterial small subunit ribosomal RNA
Source: RNAcentral
GUGGGGAAUCUUGCGCAAUGGGCGAAAGCCUGACGCAGCCAUGCCGCGUGAAUGAUGAAGGUCUUAGGAUUGUAAAAUUCUUUCACCGGGGACGAUAAUGACGGUACCCGGAGAAGAAGCUCCGGCUAACUUCGUGCCAGCAGCCGCGGUAAUACGAAGGGGGCUAGCGUUGCUCGGAAUUACUGGGCGUAAAGGGCGCGUAGGCGGACAGCUUAGUCAGAGGUGAAAGCCCAGGGCUCAACCUUGGAAUUGCCUUUGAUACUGGCUGUCUUGAGUUUGGGAGAGGUGGGUGGAACUCCGAGUGUAGAGGUGAAAUUCGUAGAUAUUCGGAAGAACACCAGUGGCGAAGGCGACUCACUGGCCCAAUACUGACGCUGAGGCGCGAAAGCGUGGGGAGCAAACAGGAUUAGAUACCCUUGUAGUCC